AGCCCAUGGUGCAAACAUCUUUUAAGCAAACCUUUAAAUUGUUCACAAGCCUCAUAUAAGGAUUCACCAUCAAAUUGUGUGAAUGAAGUUGUAUCAUUCCUCAAAUU
This 107-nucleotide small nucleolar RNA is filed under the name Theobroma cacao (cacao). Its description in RNAcentral is "Plant small nucleolar RNA R71". It matches the Rfam family "Plant small nucleolar RNA R71". Rfam says of the family: R71 is a member of the C/D box family of snoRNAs containing the C (UGAUGA) and D (CUGA) box motifs. Multiple nearly identical copies of this snoRNA have been identified in Arabidopsis, and it is thought to function as a 2'-O-ribose methylation guide for 18S ribosomal RNA. Lineage: Eukaryota; Viridiplantae; Streptophyta; Magnoliopsida; Malvales; Malvaceae. The record is from Rfam by way of RNAcentral.